AAUGCGUUCAUACGACGCUCAUGGGUGGAUUUCUGCGCGUGGUCAUCCGGUACCUGCCCGUACGGGUGCGCACCUGGUUUGGCUGCGGCUUUCUUCCUGUAGCCGUCCGCGCUUAAUUGCGUGUGUUGUGUUGCGGAACUUUUACUUUGAGAAAAAUAGAGUGUUUCAAGCAGGCUUGUCGCCCUGAAUACUUCAGCAUGGAAUAAUAGGAUAGGACCUUGGUUCUAUUUUGUUGGUUUCUAGGACCAAGGUAAUGAUUAAUAGGGACAGUUGGGGGCAUUCGUAUUUAACUGUCAGAGGUGAAAUUCUUAGAUUUGUUAAAGACGAACUACUGCGAAAGCAUUUGCCAAGGAUGUUUUCAUUAAUCAAGAACGACAGUAGGGGGUUUGAAGACGAUUAGAUACCGUCGUAAUCUCUACCAUAAACUAUGCCGACUAGAGAUAGGGAAACGCCUACCUUGC
Molecule: ribosomal RNA, 461 nt
Filed under: Cyclospora sp.
Lineage: Eukaryota; Apicomplexa; Conoidasida; Eucoccidiorida; Eimeriidae
Description: SSU rRNA
Rfam family: Eukaryotic small subunit ribosomal RNA
Source: RNAcentral